ACUUGUACUUGUGUGUAUUUUUUUUAUCCGUUCCAGCUGUUGUCUGCCCAGCUCCACUAUUCACCCAUCAUCUAGGUUUUGCCUUUUGCUUCUGAACGGUUCAAUCAACUGCAUUCCAGCGGCUUUGUGGCAGAGGGUAUGGGUGACGGUUGUACGAACUCGAAGUGGGUGUUUCAGCAAGAGAGAAGAAGGCAGCUUGCGUUUUCAUGAGAACUAUUCAUUCAUCAUCAACCAAAAUUGAAGUGGGUUUUUGGCAGAGGGUAUGGUGAGGCUUGUACGAAAUCGGAAGGGAUGGUUCGUGAAGAGAGAUGGAGAUGCUUGGGCUCUGGCGGAAGUACUUGAUGCAGAAGCAGGGAAAGAGGGAGGGAGGUCUGUAUGCAGAGGACUGGAGGAAGCUAGAUGACAAUGUGUGCGAAGUUGGAGCCGUCAAUUUCAUUCAUAUUCGUAUUCAGCAGAAACAUCAAACACAUACAACUAUCCAUCUUUUUGUUCAGUUUCUGCUCCAUCUCUCAAUCUAUUUCAAUCUCACACAACCAACCAACCAUAUCUUGCAUGUUCCAAUUUAUCUCUUCAUCCAAUCCAUUUGAUUUCACACACAAAACAACAAAAACGGCUCAAUCGUUCAUUCACUGAUAUUUCACUGCAGCCACAUCCACCUUCACUGAACCAGGUCAACAUGGAGAUCGAUAGAGCAAUCAGAGAGUGUGACGAUCGAAGGCUUCAGACCAAGUAUAACAAUGCUACCUAUGUUAUUCAGAGAGCCUUGGCUUUGUAUUCGAUGGGACGAAAUGAGGAUAUCCAUUGAUAUGUAGAGAAGGUGGUAGCUUGGUCUCGAGAAAGAGGGAGCAGAAGGUAGAGAAGUUGCUAUUAUUCUUCAUUGGUUCAAUGGGAUGGAUCAACAACUGGUGAGCACCAAGCAGAGUUUCAAUUUGAAUUGAACCAGUAGUGACUCAUUUCUAUGGUUAUCCACCUCCAUUUUUAAGGCCCAAGUUUCCAAGGCAACCAGGAAUGCCAACUGGUGAGCACCAAGCAGAGUUUCAAUUUGGUAAAUUGAACCAGUAGUGACUCAUUUCUAUGGUUAUCCACCUCCAUUUUUAAGGCCCAAGUUUCCAAGGCAACCAGGAAUGCCAGAGGUGAUUGGGUACAAAAGAUGACGAGGGUUACCUGUGAUUUUGGCGAUACAAUGUAGAAAGAGGCAGUGUCUUCUAAAAUCUCACUCCAGAAUUCUUUCCCUAUUCACGUUCCCCGAUGAAAGUCCAAGCCUCUCUUUCAAUCUGAAUAUAUGCAUUUAAGAUGAUAAUAGAGGUAUUGCUUUAGGUGGAGACAGUAUCCUAGAGUUAGUUGAUUAGUUUUAACAUACGAGAAUUGUGAUUCAGUGGCUAAAAACUAGAAGUAUGAGGCGAAAAUGUCAAUGAUAUUUAUACUUAUCCAUAUGUGCAUGUGAGCCUCACUUAGAACUCGAGUUCUAUCUCUCAAGAGUUGAGAUUUACGCGAUAUCAAUUUAAAGAGUGGGUCUAUAGUUUGUUUGUAAGAGUUUUAAGACUUUCAAGAUUUGUAAUUUUGUGCUAUUCUUGAAUUAAUUCUGGUUCCUUGGCACAAUAUGCACGAAAACUACCAUGUAUUAUUUGCAAGAAAAUUGAAUAUGAUUGAUGCUUAGGGAGUAGAA
Lotus japonicus is the source of this 1666-nucleotide long non-coding RNA. RefSeq lists it as uncharacterized. Lineage: Eukaryota; Viridiplantae; Streptophyta; Magnoliopsida; Fabales; Fabaceae. The transcript has 7 exons. The record is from RefSeq and is a predicted model, not a curated record.